UCUCAGUGAGAUUUAUAAAAACGACAUAUGAAAACAAUAACAUCAUAAAUAUCAUAAGUUCAUAUAUAAUCUGUAACAUAGUACAUGUCAUACUUUUAUAUUUCAAUCAUCAAACAACAAUUAUCCCUUUUUAUCAGCUUACUAGUAUCCGUGGGAUCCAUAGGGGUCCCCGUUACCCAUGAACCAUUCCCUUAACAAACUUAAUUUUCAGGACCGUCCCCAUACCGCGUCCGGUAUGGGCGCCAAACAAUAAACCUCAAUACCCCGUUCGGUAUGAGGGUGAAGCAGGCCGUCCCCAUACCCCGUUCGGUAUGAGUGCCAAAAUAUUUAAAGUCUCCAUACCCCGUCCGGUAUGAGACAACGUUCCCGGUAGGGUUCCUUAUGGACUCGGUCCGUCCACCAUCUCCCAAGAUAUUUAGUGAGGCUGUCAACUUAUCCAUUUAUCAAUUCACAUACAUUUUCUAUUUUUUUCUUAGUUUUCCAUUUCCCACAUAAACAUGAAUACUUAAACAAUUAACGAGCACCCAACAAGGUAAGCAUAUUAUUAGAUUCACGAAAUCAGGUCGAAAUAAAGUAAGCAGUGAUUCAUGCAUUCAAAACCAUAGAAUAAAUAAAACAGAUACCAUACUGCAUUUAA
RNAcentral lists this long non-coding RNA (637 nucleotides) under Carica papaya (papaya). RNAcentral's name for it is "long non-coding RNA (CPAP_LNC010424)". Lineage: Eukaryota; Viridiplantae; Streptophyta; Magnoliopsida; Brassicales; Caricaceae. The record is from RNAcentral.